UACGGAGGGAGCUAGCGUUGUUCGGAAUUACUGGGCGUAAAGCGCGCGUAGGCGGCUUUGUAAGUUAGAGGUGAAAGCCCGGGGCUCAACCCCGGAACUGCCUUUAAGACUGCAUCGCUUGAAUCCGGGAGAGGUGAGUGGAAUUCCGAGUGUAGAGGUGAAAUUCGUAGAUAUUCGGAAGAACACCCGUGGCGAAGGCGGCUCUCUGGUACGUGACUGACGCUGAGACGCGAAAGCGUGGGGAGCGAACAGG
Molecule: ribosomal RNA, 253 nt
Filed under: uncultured bacterium
Lineage: Bacteria
Description: partial 16S ribosomal RNA
Rfam family: Bacterial small subunit ribosomal RNA
Source: RNAcentral